Molecule: small RNA, 21 nt
Filed under: Arabidopsis thaliana (thale cress)
Lineage: Eukaryota; Viridiplantae; Streptophyta; Magnoliopsida; Brassicales; Brassicaceae
Description: ATSL300880
Source: RNAcentral
UUUGGGGGUAUAGUUGACAAC